AGUUACUGCUAUCGAGGUUCGACUAAGCCAUGCGAGUCGAAUGUAGCAAUACAUGGCGUACUGCUCAGUAACACGUGGACAACCUACCCUUAGGACAGGUAUAAACCCGGGAAACUGGGUAUAAUCCCCGAUAGUCCUCGGCUGCUGGAAUGCAUCGAGGACGAAAGCUCCGGCGCCUAAGGAUGGGUCUGCGGCCUAUCAGGUAGUAGUGGGUGUAACGUACCUACUAGCCUACGCCGGGUACGGGUUGUGAGAGCAAGAGCCCGGAGAUGGAUUCUGAGACACGAAUCCAGGCCCUACGGGGUGCAGCAGGCGCGAAAACUUUACAAUGCCGGCAACGGCGAUAAGGGGACCUCGAGUGCCAGGUUACAAAUCUGGCUGUCGUGAUGCCUAAAAAGCAUUGCAUAGCAAGGGCCGGGCAAGACCGGUGCCAGCCGCCGCGGUAACACCGGCGGCUCGAGUGGUAACCGUUAUUAUUGGGUCUAAAGGGUCUGUAGCCGGCCGGAUAAGUCUCUUGGGAAAUCCAGCAGCUCAACUGUUGGGCUUUCAGG
RNAcentral lists this ribosomal RNA (551 nucleotides) under uncultured Methanosaeta sp. RNAcentral's name for it is "bacterial SSU rRNA". It matches the Rfam family "Archaeal small subunit ribosomal RNA", at positions 21 to 578 of the family's 1478-position model. Lineage: Archaea; Methanobacteriati; Methanobacteriota; Methanomicrobia; Methanotrichales; Methanotrichaceae. The record is from RNAcentral.